CGUGAGUAACCUGCCUUGGAGUGGGGAAUAACAGCUGGAAACAGCUGCUAAUACCGCAUAAUAUAUCUGGGUCGCAUGGCUCUGGAUAUCAAAGAUUUAUCGCUCUGAGAUGGACUCGCGUCUGAUUAGCUGGUUGGCGGGGUAACGGCCCACCAAGGCGACGAUCAGUAGCCGGACUGAGAGGUUGGCCGGCCACAUUGGGACUGAGACACGGCCCAGACUCCUACGGGAGGCAGCAG
This 239-nucleotide ribosomal RNA is filed under the name uncultured bacterium. RNAcentral's name for it is "partial 16S ribosomal RNA". It matches the Rfam family "Bacterial small subunit ribosomal RNA", at positions 116 to 354 of the family's 1533-position model. The record is from RNAcentral.